Molecule: ribosomal RNA, 254 nt
Filed under: uncultured bacterium
Lineage: Bacteria
Description: partial 16S ribosomal RNA
Rfam family: Bacterial small subunit ribosomal RNA
Source: RNAcentral
UACAGAGGGUGCGAGCGUUGUCCGGAAUCACUGGGCGUAAAGGGCGCGUAGGCGGCCUGAUAAGUAGGGGGGUGAAAUCCUGUGGCUUAACUGCAGGGCUGCCUCCUAGACUGUUAGGCUCGAGCACGGUAGAGGCAGAUGGAAUUCCCGGUGUAGCGGUGGAAUGCGUAGAGAUCGGGAAGAACAUCGGUGGCGAAAGCGCUCUGCUGGACUGCAACUGACACUCAGGGACGAAAGCUAGGGGAGCGAAUGGG